GCUUGCUUCGGCAGUGCGUUUACUAAAAUUGGAACAAUACAGGGAAGGUUAGCAUGGCCCCUGCUCAAGGAUGGCACACAAAUUCGUAAGGCCUCCCCAACCCCG
This is a small nuclear RNA of Myotis daubentonii (Daubenton's bat), 105 nucleotides long. The record is from RefSeq and is a predicted model, not a curated record. Lineage: Eukaryota; Metazoa; Chordata; Mammalia; Chiroptera; Vespertilionidae.